GAUGAACGCUGACAGAAUGCUUAACACAUGCAAGUCAACUUGAACUUCGGUUUGGGUGGCGGACGGGUGAGUAACGCGUAAAGAACUUGCCUCACAGAUAGGGACAACAUUUGGAAACGAAUGCUAAUACCUGAUAUUAUGAUUUUAGGGCAUCCUAGGAUUAUGAAAGCUAUAUGCGCUGUGAGAGAGCUUUGCGUCCCAUUAGCUAGUUGGAGAGGUAACGGCUCACCAAGGCGAUGAUGGGUAGCCGGCCUGAGAGGGUGAUCGGCCACAAGGGGACUGAGACACGGCCCUUACUCCUACGGGAGGCAGCAGUGGGGAAUAUUGGACAAUGGACCAAGAGUCUGAUCCAGCAAUUCUGUGUGCACGAUGAAGUUUUUCGGAAUGUAAAGUGCUUUCAGUUGGGAAGAAAAAAAUGACGGUACCAACAGAAGAAGUGACGGCUAAAUACGUGCCAGCAGCCGCGGUAAUACGUAUGUCACGAGCGUUAUCCGGAUUUAUUGGGCGUAAAGCGCGUCUAGGUGGUUAUGUAAGUCUGAUGUGAAAAUGCAGGGCUCAACUCUGUAUUGCGUUGGAAACUGUAUAACUAGAGUACUGGAGAGGUAAGCGGAACUACAAGUGUAGAGGUGAAAUUCGUAGAUAUUUGUAGGAAUGCCGAUGGGGAAGCCAGCUUACUGGACAGAUACUGACGCUAAAGCGCGAAAGCGUGGGUAGCAAACAGG
Molecule: ribosomal RNA, 722 nt
Filed under: uncultured Fusobacterium sp.
Lineage: Bacteria; Fusobacteriati; Fusobacteriota; Fusobacteriia; Fusobacteriales; Fusobacteriaceae
Description: bacterial SSU rRNA
Rfam family: Bacterial small subunit ribosomal RNA
Source: RNAcentral